This 661-nucleotide ribosomal RNA is filed under the name uncultured bacterium. Its description in RNAcentral is "bacterial SSU rRNA". It matches the Rfam family "Bacterial small subunit ribosomal RNA", at positions 372 to 1029 of the family's 1533-position model. The record is from RNAcentral.
UGGGGGGAACCUGAUCAACCAUGCCGCGUGUGUAAGAAGGCUUAUGGUUGUACAAGGCACUUUAAGCGAGGAGGAGGCUUACCUAGUUUAAUACCUGAGAUAAGUGGACGUUACUCGCAGAAUAAGCACCGACUAACUCUGUGCCAGCAGCCGCGGUAAUACAGAGGGUGCAAGCGUUAAUCGGAUUUACUGGGCGUAAAGCGCGCGUAGGCGGCCAAUUAAGUCAAAUGUGAAAUCCCCGAGCUUAACUUGGGAAUUGCAUUCGAUACUGGUUGGCUAGAGUGUGGGAGAGGAUGGUAGAAUUCCAGGUGUAGCGGUGAAAUGCGUAGAGAUCUGGAGGAAUACCGAUGGCGAAGGCAGCCAUCUGGCCUAACACUGACGCUGAGGUGCGAAAGCAUGGGGAGCAAACAGGAUUAGAUACCCUGGUAGUCCAUGCCGUAAACGAUGUCUACUAGCCGUUGGGGCCUUUGAGGCUUUAGUGGCGCAGCUAACGCGAUAAGUAGACCGCCUGGGGAGUACGGUCGCAAGACUAAAACUCAAAUGAAUUGACGGGGGCCCGCACAAGCGGUGGAGCAUGUGGUCUAAUUCGAUGCAACGCGAAGAACUUACCUGGCCUUGACAUAGUAGAACUUUCCGAGAUGGUUGGUGCUCGGGGAUCUCU